UACAGAGGUCUCAAGCGUUGUUCGGAUUCAUUGGGCGUAAAGGGUGCGUAGGCGGCGCGGUAAGUCGGGUGUGAAAUCUCGGGGCUUAACUCCGAAACUGCAUUCGAUACUGCCGUGCUUGAGGACUGGAGAGGAGACUGGAAUUUACGGUGUAGCGGUGAAAUGCGUAGAUAUCGUAAGGAAGACCAGUGGCGAAGGCGGCUUCCUGGUCCAGCACCGACGUUCAGGCACGAAAGCGUGGGGAGCAAACAGG
RNAcentral lists this ribosomal RNA (253 nucleotides) under uncultured bacterium. Its description in RNAcentral is "partial 16S ribosomal RNA". It matches the Rfam family "Bacterial small subunit ribosomal RNA", at positions 524 to 776 of the family's 1533-position model. The record is from RNAcentral.